RNAcentral lists this ribosomal RNA (777 nucleotides) under uncultured Neocallimastigales. RNAcentral's name for it is "partial large subunit ribosomal RNA". It matches the Rfam family "Eukaryotic large subunit ribosomal RNA", at positions 22 to 647 of the family's 3401-position model. The record is from RNAcentral. Lineage: Eukaryota; Fungi; Neocallimastigomycota; Neocallimastigomycetes; Neocallimastigales.
GUACACGCUGUGACUAGCAUAUCAAUAAGCGGAGGAAAAGAAACUAACAAGGAUUCCCCUAGUAACGGCGAGUGAAGCGGGAAGAGCUCAAAUUUGAAAUCUUAAAGGGUUUCCCUUUACGAAUUGUAGUUUAAAGAAGUGUUUUCUGUUGAGGUUUUGGUAAAAGUUCUUUGGAAUAGGACAUCAUAGAGGGUGAGAAUCCCGUAUUUGACCUUUACUUUCAACUUUGUGAUACACUUUCAAAGAGUCGGAUUGUUUGGGAAUGCAGUCCAAAAUGGGUGGUAAAUUUCAUCUAAAGCUAAAUAUUGGCGAGAGACCGAUAGCGAACAAGUACCGUGAGGGAAAGAUGAAAAGAACUUUGAAAAGAGAGUUAAACAGUACGUGAAAUUGUCAAAAGGGAAGCGUUUGACACCAGUGUUGUUUUUCUGAAAAUCAAUUAAAGAACUGUUUAUGCUAAGCUGUUUAGACUUUAUCAGCUAAUCUGUUUAGUUUUGAGCUUUUCUUUAAUGCACCUUUUCAGUUAACAAGUCAACAUCAAUUUCUUUUGCUGUAAAAAAGCUUGAGGAAGGUGGCUUGAGAUUCGUCUUAAGUGUUUAUAGCCUCUUGCCUAUGCAGUCGGAGAGAUUGAGGUCUGCAGCGUAGAUCCUUCGGGGCUAGAAUGCAUUUGUGCUAAGUUAUAGCAUUUUAUAGACAACUUGUUGACUAUGAUUUGUCUUGUAGCUUACUCGCUUAUGUUAUUUUACCUACGCUUAGGAUGUUGACGAGACUGUCGAUCUC